GCGCCCGUAGCUCAGCUGGAUAGAGCACCAGACUACGAAUCUGGGGGUCAGGAGUUCGAAUCUCGUCCGGCGCGCCA
RNAcentral lists this transfer RNA (77 nucleotides) under Mesorhizobium onobrychidis. RNAcentral describes it as "Mesorhizobium sp. OM4 tRNA-Arg". It matches the Rfam family "tRNA". From Rfam's summary of the family: Transfer RNA (tRNA) molecules are approximately 80 nucleotides in length. Their secondary structure includes four short double-helical elements and three loops (D, anti-codon, and T loops). The record is from RNAcentral. Lineage: Bacteria; Pseudomonadati; Pseudomonadota; Alphaproteobacteria; Hyphomicrobiales; Phyllobacteriaceae.